This 2109-nucleotide long non-coding RNA is filed under the name Mytilus galloprovincialis (Mediterranean mussel). The record is from RNAcentral. Lineage: Eukaryota; Metazoa; Mollusca; Bivalvia; Mytilida; Mytilidae.
AUUUAUUUUUAAUGCCAUUACAAACAUUUGAUGUUUUUAGGCAGAUCUAAGUUACAUGUAUUUUUACAUGUAUUAAAUAUAUACAUAUUUAUGUACAUCUGCAGAAUAUUAAUUAACAAUAAGUCUUACGACUCAAACAGUAUAAAAUUUGUAAUAGAUAAAUACAAGUUUCAUCGGUCAUUAAAAUUUUUAGGAAAUGAUACCAUACAAUAUGGAUAGACAAAAAGUUUAGAAAUCUAAAUAAAAACUUAUUUAAUGGAUGCUAUAAUUUCAAAGCUGUUUUGUUUUUAGUAAUUUCUAAUUAAUAUUCUAAUUAUUACCUAUGUUAAUCUCAUACAUUCAGUACCAAUUUGAUGUUUCUCAUUUUGUAAUGACUAGAGUCACCAAUAAGACAAUAUAUGAUUUGAAGUGGACUGAUAUGAUAAAAUCUUGAAAGGGGACAAAAUACAGAUAAAUUCAAUGAUAUCUUUUCUUAAUAAGCCCUGUCACUUAUAAAGUAACUCAUAAGACAAAACAGGUCAAUGACAAUGUACAUAAAGUUUAUAAUGCAGAUUUAAAAAUGCCAACAUGUCUUUCUUCCUUAUUAUCAGGAAAAAAUGAUUUUUUUUUAUUAAUAUUUAAUUUACUGACGUUAUACUCAAAUGUCAAUUACAAUUUUAAUUUGGCAUUACAUCAUUUAAGGAAGUUUUUAAGUAUCUUUAAAAGAUAUACUACAUUAUAUACUUACAAGUAAUUGAGUUACUGUGGAUUCAUUUAUUUUCGUGGGUACCAAUUUUGAUGAUUUUUGAAAAAUCAUACUUUUGUGGUUUGUCAAUGCAUAUACGCUUAUAGAAAAUUCCUACCUCAUUCAGUAUUGAAAUUUGUGGUUCAUCUAAACCCAUAAAAUCCAUGAAAAUUGGUAUUCCACGAAUAUUAAUACACAGUACUACUGGCAUUAUAUCCUUAAUAUGGAAUAACUUGUGACAGAAAAAUAUUGGCACUAUAUCAAUAAUUUAGAAUACAUUUUAAAAAUUAACAUUCAAAAUUCACUAAAUUUCAAAUAUCGUUUACAUAAAGUGACAACUGUAUUAUUCAUUAUUCAUAUAAUAUAAACAGUAUAAAAGUUUUGAAACCUACAAAAAAUGUUUGACUAGUCAAUUUUAACAUAAUCCCAAUACAGCACAACCAUGUGACAUCUAUUAUAAAUACAAUCUGAUUCCAAUACCUAUCCUGCGUUCACGCUUCACUAACACUGAACAGACAACGCUUCGUUCUACUUCCUGUUCUGGUCAUUAUCAUGUCAGAGAAUAGAUGUAUUUACACUUGCAUGCAAAUUUGUUCGCCAUAACAAAAAAUCACACAGGUUCCCUUAAACUUUGACAUCACAAUUUAAAACAUUUAACAUCACACUUAAGAAGUGAUUGUUUCUUGACGUCAGAGUAGAUCUAAGGUCAUUCAGGAACAAAAUUCAGCUGAAUACCAAAAGUGUAAAUACAUAUAUCCCAAAGUUCUUUAAAACAAAAAGUAGAACAGACACAAAUCUAUUCUACUUUCUGUUCUGGUUAUUAUCACAUCAGUUAAUCAUUUGGACAAAACCCGAGGAUCCUGAAAGGUCUUUAAAAUAGAAAGUAGAAUGUAACAUUGUCAAAUCCUUGUAAGCUAAGCCUGAACACAUAAUCUGUAUUUCCUUCAAAUUGAUAAUAAAUACAACAAUAAAUUCCAUAUGUACAAAUGUCUUUUCUCUGUACAAAAAAUAUAAACUUCGAUAAUGUAUGUCAUGUGGUACAAAAUAUACAUACAACAAAAAAACAUAUAAAAAACUAUGAGUUAAUUAUCUCUAAACAGUUCUAUAUCUUUAUUUCUCAACAAACCAAAGUACAUUGGUAUAGAUUAAACAGUCAAUCCCUGAUCAUAUAGUCAAUUUUUUAACAGAAAUGAUAUUGCUGUACAACCAGGUAAUCCUUCGUUUUAAAUAAAUACAACUCUCAUAUAGUUAUGGCACAUACUUAUUUCAAAAUGAUGCAGAAAUAGUGAAAAACUUAAAACUUGAUUUACAGGAAAGAGACCAUGUUAAAAAAAAAGCACUUUUUUUAUGCUUUUUCUCAGAAGAUGCUUCAAAUUUAUUCUUUU